AUUGAACGCUGGCGGAAUGCUUUACACAUGCAAGUCGAACGGCAGCACGGACUUCGGUCUGGUGGCGAGUGGCGAACGGGUGAGUAAUGUAUCGGAACGUGCCCAGUCGUGGGGGAUAACGUAGUGAAAAUUACGCUAAUACCGCAUACGAUCUAUGGAUGAAAGCGGGGGAUCGCAAGACCUCGCGCGAUUGGAGCGGCCGAUAUCAGAUUAGGUAGUUGGGGGGGUAAAGGCCCACCAAGCCAACGAUCUGUAGCUGGUCUGAGAGGACGACCAGCCACACGUGAACUGAGACACGGUCCAGACUCCUACGGGAGGCAGCAGUGGGGAAUUUUGGACAAUGGGCGAAAGCCUGAUCCAGCCAUUCCGCGUGCAGGAUGAAGGCCCUCGGGUUGUAAACUGCUUUUGUACAGAACGAAAAGGUUUCUACUAAUACUAGGAGCUCAUGACGGUACUGUAAGAAUAAGCACCAGCUAACUACGUGCCAGCCGCCGCCGUAA
Molecule: ribosomal RNA, 500 nt
Filed under: uncultured bacterium
Lineage: Bacteria
Description: partial 16S ribosomal RNA
Rfam family: Bacterial small subunit ribosomal RNA
Source: RNAcentral